AAUUCUCUGACGAGUUGAAAAGUUCAUUUUUCAUUGCACUGUGCAACUAAUAAAGUGGACACUCGUCUCAGACAACUCCCCACUCCAUCAAAUCAACAUCACAUCGCUGGAGCUGUGUAGUGACUGCGACGGUUUGAAGUGGGCAGGGGAGAGGUCGUAGCUCUGUCGGACUUUUGGGACAAUGAGUUUGGCUUUGAGGUUUGGGCGUCAGGGUCUGAGGGGAUUAAAUGAAGGGCUUGUUGGGGGGUUGAGGUGGACUAGAGAGGUCCUGGUUCCCUCUUGGCUGGAGAAGGUGUCUAUUCUUUCCACAGUUUGGACAUUUCAUUUGUUUCUGUGUUUCUGAGUGGUGUCAUCAUUAAAAG
Long non-coding RNA from Sander lucioperca (pikeperch), 362 nucleotides. RefSeq lists it as uncharacterized. The transcript is spliced from 2 exons. The record is from RefSeq and is a predicted model, not a curated record. NCBI's taxonomy places the organism in Eukaryota, Metazoa, Chordata, Actinopteri, Perciformes, Percidae.